GCCCGUUUGGCUUAGUGGUACAGCGUCUCACUCGUACGUCCUGCGACAUGAGAAGAUCCUCGGUUCGAUUCCGAGAAUGGGCA
Molecule: transfer RNA, 83 nt
Filed under: Dothidotthia symphoricarpi CBS 119687
Lineage: Eukaryota; Fungi; Ascomycota; Dothideomycetes; Pleosporales; Dothidotthiaceae
Rfam family: tRNA
About the family: Transfer RNA (tRNA) molecules are approximately 80 nucleotides in length.
Source: Rfam by way of RNAcentral